GCUGCUGCUGCCUUAUUUACUACUUCGCCGCCUCUGUCCCUACGAACAUACUCUUUGGUAUCGCAAACACGUCUAAAAGUGGAGAAAAGUGGAACUUUUUUUAGGUUAGGUGUGAGAAGUCACAGUCGAAAAGAAGUUUUCGAGUUACGUAAUUGAUUUGAUUAACUACUUCUUAUUAGAUGCAAAAUAUUGUACAUAAUUGUGUACGAUAUAUAGAGGAGGGUCGAAGGAGAGACUGGUUAAUCUAAUGGAAAUGAUGGCGAAAGUAGUGGUCAAGGUCGGUCAACUAUCGAUCAAUCAAUUUUCUUCCCAUUCUCCUCCCAUUGUACAAACGGCCUCUGUUUCAUCUGAUCUUGUCCCGACAUUCUACCGCCUUGAUAUUAAUUCACCUCAUCGACCUGUCGCGUUAACAAGCUACAAAUAAAAAAGAAUUUAGCAAUCGCUGAAGUAGGAAGCAGUUGGCUUUUCUAACACGACCAACAUAUCGGUUUUCUGUUUCUUGAUUGAAAUAACAGCAGGCCUCGACGUGUUUAUCAAGCUCUUGAUACGCAGUGGUACGACGAUAGAGACUGUUCUAACCUCGUCGUUUCUUCUGUUCUUUAUUUACUCUUUUAUAUUUGUCAGUUUGCUUUUUUUACGUGGAAAUCAACAACGAAUUGUUCGCCCUGUUAUUUGCGCCCGGAAAACAGUUCUUGCGCGCAACAAUAGAAAACUCCAACAAGUUGUCAGUUUGUCGACAUAGCGUGAAUAACAUUUCCUGAAAUGUUUUAUAUUCCGCUUUGUGUUGAAGGUAUUUGGAAGAAAAAUUGGACACACUGAUGGAUUUGUACGAGAAGAAAUAAGCUUUUCAAUGCUCUGGUAAUUUUUCGUAAUUUUUGCGGAGAAUAAUAUCGUGUAUAAAAGUGAAAAAUAGGAUUUUUUAAAAUCUCUUUCGCCUGUUUCUCAUACCUCAUUUUCUUUGUUUGCGACGCAACGAUAGAAUCGUUAUCGCCGUGAAUCGUGAAAGCGCGCGCGUGUAAAAGUAUGCAAAAUCGUAAGUAAACGUUAUUAUUCUUGUUACCAAAUGAAAUUGAUAUAUUUAAUACUUGUCAUACGUACCUGCGAUAAGAUAUGAUACUAGAAUGUACAUGCCAUGAAAUAUGGUGAAAUUUGACUAAAAUGUCGAAUUUUUUAUUUUAUAAAUAAAAAGUUGAGAUAUAGCAGUUUUUCUUCUAUCUAACAUAAUUUAGCCAAAUUUCACCAAGUUUCCCCGGUCCCAGCAUCGAUCCGACUGGCUUACAAAUAAUCGGAUGCCAUUGUGUUAAGAUAACCAACUAAAUUCUUCUCAUAAAAAUAAAUUCUUAUCAGAAUGACGAUUUGGAAUCUAAGCAGAAAGACUGAUUCAUUUCAAUAAAAGGUUUUAGUAUAAAUUAGUUUUAGUAUAAGUGCAUUGAAAUAUACAUAUGUAGUAUAUAAAAUAUCAUACCUUAUAUGUUAUAUCUUAAUCUAGUAAUAUUGUAUCCUUGCAGUAUUAUUAAACAAUAGUGCAUUUAAGUCAAUGAAAGAUCACAUAUAUGUAUUUCCUUUCGUAGGAAACUGAGAGGAGAAAGUCCCUUUUAAAUAUCUUCAAAGUUUUAUUAAUAUCCUUGGUACGAUGUUUGAUGUGAGUUGUUGUCGGUUGACCUCGAUCUUUUCAUCUUACUCGGCGAUUGUUGCGCAAUCGGUAUUUCUGCCAGCCACGAAAAUUUAUGAAAAUCUUGAAAGCUUUUCAUCGAGUUUACACUACGUUCAGCGGUGUCUCGUUGAACGAUGUCAGAUGGAAAGCUGCUUGAAAGAACGAAUAUAGGUCGAAUAUAGGUCGUCGUUGUUACCCGUUUAUUUUAUCAGGGUUGCUGGAAACUCGACAAACGAGAGAACGAGAAAGAAAGAAAGUUCUUUGAUAACUCGUGUGCUGCACAUUGGCGCAAUUUUCUUUUAUUUCUCUUGAUACUUUCGUCGAAUAAUAGGUUCGCUCGCUAUUUACGAAACAUUGAACCCCGUUCCGAACGAAUGUUCCUCGCACGGCAUCACACGGAACAGCGUUACAUCGUAUUUCACGUUUCCCUUAACAUUAAUCGCCUCGGAAUACGUAAACGAAACACGAGUAGUAACUUCACAGUACAUAUAAGUAGAAAUAUCUUUUCUUCUGUUUCUUUCUCGUAAAACAAAAGUUAUAUUUCUUACAAGCAUGUACGUAUGUAGAUAAAACAGAAUCUGAUUAUCAGAACACCAAUGAACCAAAAAUUUUGUGGAUAAUACCUCUAAGAAAGAAUAGAAAUGAAAGUAUUUUUUGUUAUAUUUCUAUUCAAAAUUUUUUGUUCUUGUUUGUUUAGUAUGAAAUUUUAUAAAAUAGUUUAAAAUAAAUUAUCUUAUUUCGUAUACAAACAAAAUUACUUGAUUAUUCGAAUAGUUAGUUUGGAUAAUCAAAAUUCUAUUGUAUGUUUAACGUCUUCUGACUGUAGAAUAGAGUUCUUAAGAAUCUUGGCUAUCCAAGGUGGUUGUCCUAACAUUAUCGCCGUGGAAAAAUUUUAUUACUCGUUUCACGAACGGAUUUUCAUCGUUAUUGAACGAUAAUUGGCAGAUAUUUGUUUCCUUCGCCCUCCUUUUCAUCUGCUCGAUAAUGUUACAUGCUUUAAUAAUACGAACAAUUUCUGCAUGGGAAACUUGUUAAAGUUCCAUUAGUUCGAUACCAUCGAUCUUUAUUCGUGUUGCAUUAGCGAAAUUCCACGGUACUUUUUCUCACAUUUGCCCACUCAAACUUCUUUCUCGGUGGAUGUAUUGUUUUCGAGUUAAAUGUCCAAUAAUUUGGUAAGAUAAACUCCUUGAAACACCAAAACUCUUACUCUCUGAAAUUACUUCUUGUUAAUUUGUACGUGCUCUUAUUCUUUCUAUCCUUUUUACGAAACAAGUGCCAAGCUUUACUUAUUUAAAGACAUUCUGUCACAUUUCUCUUACAUUACUUUAACAUAGUCGAUGCUGACGCUAUAUGUAUGUAAAUACUUUUCAAAAACAUAUUAAUAUCAGUCGAUAUUCCGAAGAUUAGCAGGCAGCUAUACAAAAAUUAAGUAAUCGAUACAAGUAUAAUUUAGUAAAACUAUAAUUAAUCUGAUCUAAAAUUACCCCCUACGAUUGAAAUUUUGUUGGAGAUUAUAGUAGAUUAUAGCUCCUCGUUUUCGUUUGAAAUCUAUAAAGUAUUAAAGUUAAUAAACAUUAUAAUAGUAAAUAGAAUAAUGCGGUCAUAAACAAACAAAUUGUACAACAUUGUAGAGAGUUAAGGUAAACCAAGUGGUUGUUGUGACAUUACAAAGGGAAACGAAUUCCUAACAUGCACUGUGCAGUUGGACACAGUGAGUGAGUGAGUGAGUGACUGAGUGACUGAGUGAGGGCGCAUAUGUAUGUGUGUAUGCGUGUGUGGGGGAGAGGGAGAGGGAGGGGGAGAGAGAGAGAGAGAGGGAGGGAGGGAGAGAGAGAGAGGGAAGAAAAAAUAAUAUAUAUACGAGUAUGUAGAUCGAGAACGAUCAAAGUGUUUACAUGCCUUACUUCUGCAUCAUACGAGUUCCUCAAAAGUCACAUUGAUCAACUCGAUAAACUGAAAUGUAGAGAAAAAUGACAUGAUAAUUGUAAACAUUAUUUUUCGAAAUUUUCUCGAAAGUUCGUGAUUAUCUACCCAUAAUGAAUAAAUUCAUGAAAGAAAGUCCUUUGCUCUUCGAAAUAUUGAAUAUUCACUGUAUACUUGGCUAAUGAAAUUGAAAACUUGAUACAGAAUUAAGUCGAUCAAUUUGAUUUCUCAGAAUGUUGGUGUGUCGCUCAAUGACAAGAUCACAUACCUUUCCUUCUUCCCCUCGAUUCGUUUUACAUGAAAGCUACAGUUUGCGACGUUAACUCUGCGUACUGUUUGAUAACGAUUACACAGUGACGCUACGAACGGGAACGCUAUGAACGUGACGGCCAAUGUAACUCCGUGUAUUCUACAUAGAGAAAUAAAGAUCAGUUCGGUGCGUCGAAAGCGGCACUUUAAAUGCUUGUCACUUGAUUCUUAGAUGUUAGCAAGCUAAAUUCCAUUCCAAAUUCCUCGAAUUCGUUCGAUUCUUGCCUCAACUAUCCAUUAUCUGGAAGUUCUUUCAAAAGAAUUUUAUUUUAAAGUUUAUCUGUUUGCGCCGAUGUGACUGCUUAAUAAAUUUUAAACUAACGAUUUCCAUUGUGUCUAUUAAUCAAAAUAAUGCCUGUUUAUACUAAAAGAGAAAAAUGGAGAUUGUUUAACAAACAUUAAAUUUAAUAUUUUUAAAAAUUUAUUUACAAUUUACUUGUAAUUAUAUUUAUCAUGUAAUAAGUACAGUAGAUUAUUGCCUAAAAAUCGUAUUUAGUAGCAAUUUCAUCAAAUUUGAUUAGGAUAAUAUGUUGUUUGAAAAUGUUCAGGUAGAAUGCAAAGAGAAAUGAAUAUUUAAGAUUGACAGGUGUAGCUACUAAUUCGUAGGAAGAUGAAAAGCAAAGACUGAGGGGAAUGGCUUCUUUGAAGCUAAGAACUGAACCGCAAAGUAUAUAUUUGUAGGAAGUGUAAAUUUAUAGCAGCUUUGAAAUUCUUGAAAUCUCUAAAAGCGGAUUUGUUAAGAAUUCUAGUUCGGACGACGAAGUUGGAUCUAUAAUGGAAAAUAAAAUUCUCUCCGUGAAAAUUUCUGUAAUCUUGCAAACUCAGUUUAUAAUUUCAUAAAUUACGGUUUCCAUCGGAAAUUUAAUAUCGCUUAAAGAUUAGUAUGGCCUGCAUAAAAAGAUAAAGCGAUUUCAUAUAAUAUAAUCUCUCGAUCGAUUAAAGUUCUUUUUCAAAGUAAUAAAUUUCCUGUUUGAUGUUAUUUUUCGCACUUUCUUUUAACUAAAUUAUUACAUCUUACAAAUGACUUUUUAUCACUUUACUUAGGUGUUCAUACGUUUCCGCGCUUCCUCUAAUUUAUUGACGAGCGAGUAUUUUAUUAAAUGUAUUUUAUUAAAUUAAUAUCGAUAACUUGUAAAUUAUAACCUAUAAAAUUUCAUAAAUAAUAUUAGUUCAAUUGUGAAAGGUGAUAUGGAUGUAGCAGAAUCGAUAAGAAGUCAAAAUUAUAGGUAUUUGUCAAAAUGUCCGUCCGGAUGCUAUCGAAAAAUCUAGCACAUCAGUUUGUAUUGUCACGUGUAACAAUACCAUCAGCGCUGCCUAAUUGCUCGAAAUAUAAUUCCCUUUCCGAUAUCACGGUUCUCUGUCGGCAUAUCGACGUCGAAUCGACAGACGCGCAACGUUUUAGGCGAUUGUCAUUAUCGUCGAACAAUUCGAAUGUAACGAAUAGAAUUAAUCGGAAAUUCGAGCGAAUCGAGGAGACUGCCGGUGACGUAUACGUGGGUCAGUGACAGCGUUCGAGCGAACAAAGCCGGCGACUUUUAUCCCUCUUUAGACGCGUAGACAUGUUUGUGAAACAAAAGGAAGGAAAUAUGAUUGAACUUUUUUGCGUAUUAUUACUUGUGAUUAUAUUUCUCUAUAUAGUAAUAUAAAUAUGUUAUUGUACACUACAUGUAGAUAUAUGUUACUGAUAAAUUAAAAUGAUACACAAUUUUGUCAAGUUUAAUAUCUAAAAACUCAAAAUAGUGUCGUUUUUGUUUGUUUUUUUCUUUUUAGGUUUAACACGCGGCUAGAAUUAAAAACAGUAGAA
Long non-coding RNA from Bombus huntii, 5690 nucleotides. RefSeq lists it as uncharacterized. NCBI's taxonomy places the organism in Eukaryota, Metazoa, Arthropoda, Insecta, Hymenoptera, Apidae. The transcript is spliced from 2 exons. The record is from RefSeq and is a predicted model, not a curated record.